Long non-coding RNA from Oenanthe melanoleuca, 796 nucleotides. RefSeq lists it as uncharacterized. Lineage: Eukaryota; Metazoa; Chordata; Aves; Passeriformes; Muscicapidae. The transcript is spliced from 2 exons. The record is from RefSeq and is a predicted model, not a curated record.
CCCGCGGUGACUGAGGGGCGGGUGGGGGCCGGGCCAAGAUGGCGGGGGACAGCGACGGGCACUGCGCUCCUCGCCAUCUCCUCAGCUCUGGAGGAGGCGGGCAGCUCCGGCAUCCUCCGCCUCAGCGGCAGGAGAUGGAUGCUCGUGGAGAAGGGAAUCUGCCAGGGAUGAGAAGAUCACUGUUGAAGCAGAGCACACUGCAAACAUGAUGUGCUCUUUCAUGCUUGAAGCUGGAUAAAUCUCCCUAACUCAGCAGAGGGAAAGUGAAACCCAGGCCUGGAGCAGUUCUGGUGGUUUGUGUGGUUAACCCCCAGGCAGUGCUCUCCACUCCUCAGGGACACUUCAGGGCUUUGCUCUCUUUGUUCUGGUGAUCUCAGUUCCACAUUUUGCACUGAAGUUUGGUCCAGAGCCCUGGGGCAGCUCAGAAUCCUGCUCCACGUUUGUUUCUUGUCUGGACAGUUUGGUUUUACUCGAUGCCUUGUUUAAGAUGCAGUUCCUUGCUCCUGCUCUUGCUGAGGACACUUAGUGGGUUGGGGCUGGGCCCUGCUUGGAGCACAGAAGGUUGGGAAUGCAAGGAGCUUCCUUUCAAGCUGACAGAACACAAGGGCUGAUGAGACAGGCACUGAGACUGUGCCUUUGUCACAGCUUCAGGGGCACAGUCUGCUCCUGCAGCCCUCCCUCUCUGCCUAUCCCCUGCCCCUGGCAUCUGUAUUUCCUGAAAAUACAUGGAAUCUCACCUUCAAAAGUUGGCUUCAAAAUGACAUAAGAAAAGCUUAAUAAAAAUGCCAAGGUCACA